Molecule: ribosomal RNA, 500 nt
Filed under: uncultured bacterium
Lineage: Bacteria
Description: partial 16S ribosomal RNA
Rfam family: Bacterial small subunit ribosomal RNA
Source: RNAcentral
AUUGAACGCUGGCGGCAGGCCUAACACAUGCAAGUCGAGCGGCAGCGGGACCUUCGGGUUGCCGGCGAGCGGCGGACGGGUGAGUAAUGCCUAGGAAUCUGCCUGUUAGUGGGGGAUAACGCGGGGAAACUCGCGCUAAUACCGCAUACGUCCUACGGGAGAAAGCGGGGGCUCUUCGGACCUCGCGCUAACAGAUGAGCCUAGGUCGGAUUAGCUAGUUGGUGGGGUAAUGGCCCACCAAGGCGACGAUCCGUAACUGGUCUGAGAGGAUGAUCAGUCACACUGGAACUGAGACACGGUCCAGACUCCUACGGGAGGCAGCAGUGGGGAAUAUUGGACAAUGGGCGAAAGCCUGAUCCAGCCAUGCCGCGUGUGUGAAGAAGGUCUUCGGAUUGUAAAGCACUUUAAGUCGGGAGGAAGGACUGUAGGCUAAUACCUUGCAGUUUUGACGUUACCGACAGAAUAAGCACCGGCUAACUUCGUGCCAGCAGCCGCGGUAA